Molecule: long non-coding RNA, 305 nt
Filed under: Hordeum vulgare
Lineage: Eukaryota; Viridiplantae; Streptophyta; Magnoliopsida; Poales; Poaceae
Description: long non-coding RNA (HVUL_LNC010140)
Source: RNAcentral
GGGGUGAAUGUUGGUAUAAUCCAAACAUGGCUACGUGUGGCUAGUACUAAGUUGCUUGAGUUUUAUUUAAUUAGAAAGUGAUUAGCGUUGUGGUGUAACUACGUAAGUUUGAGUCGGUUUCCUAGUUCUAUAUGUGUGCUAGUUGUACGUUCUUUUGUGGUCUGAUACAGGCUGUAGGUUUGGUAGGUUAAGUCCAAGUCAAGCAAGUUAUGUGUCCGUGUACGUGUUGUGCUAGGUUAUAUUGAAGUCGGCUAUGCUAGCCAUGGUCAGGACGGUGCAUAUAUAUAUGCACACAUAUGUUGCUA